AAAUUGAAGAGUUUGAUCAUGGCUCAGAUUGAACGCUGGCGGCAGGCCUAACACAUGCAAGUCGAACGGUAACAGAAAGCAGCUUGCUGCUUUGCUGACGAGUGGCGGACGGGUGAGUAAUGUCUGGGAAACUGCCCGAUGGAGGGGGAUAACUACUGGAAACGGUAGCUAAUACCGCAUAACGUCGCAAGACCAAAGAGGGGGACCUUCGGGCCUCUUGCCAUCGGAUGUGCCCAGAUGGGAUUAGCUAGUAGGUGGGGUAACGGCUCACCUAGGCGACGAUCCCUAGCUGGUCUGAGAGGAUGACCAGCCACACUGGAACUGAGACACGGUCCAGACUCCUACGGGAGGCAGCAGUGGGGAAUAUUGCACAAUGGGCGCAAGCCUGAUGCAGCCAUGCCGCGUGUAUGAAGAAGGCCUUCGGGUUGUAAAGUACUUUCAGCGGGGAGGAAGGGAGUAAAGUUAAUACCUUUGCUCAUUGACGUUACCCGCAGAAGAAGCACCGGCUAACUCCGUGCCAGCAGCCGCGGUAAUACGGAGGGUGCAAGCGUUAAUCGGAAUUACUGGGCGUAAAGCGCACGCAGGCGGUUUGUUAAGUCAGAUGUGAAAUCCCCGGGCUCAACCUGGGAACUGCAUCUGAUACUGGCAAGCUUUGAGUCUCGUAGAGGGGUAGAAUUCCAGGUGUAGCGGUGAAAUGCGUAGAGAUCUGGAGGAAUACCGGUGGCGAAGGCGGCCCCCUGGACGAAGACUGACGCUCAGGUGCGAAAGCGUGGGGAGCAAACAGGAUUAGAUACCCUGGUAGUCCACGCCGUAAACGAUGUCGACUUGGAGGUUGUGCCCUUGAGGCGUGGCUUCCGGAGCUAACGCGUUAAGUCGACCGCACGGGGAGUACGGCCGCAAGGUUAAAACUCAAAUGAAUUGACGGGGGCCCGCACAAGCGGUGGAGCAUGUGGUUUAAUUCGAUGCAACGCGAAGAACCUUUACCGGGUCUUGACAUCCACGGAAGUUUUCAGAGAUGAGAAUGUGCCUUCGGGAACCGUGAGACAGGUGCUGCAUGGCUGUCGUCAGCUCGUGUUGUGAAAUGUUGGGUUAAGUCCCGCAACGAGCGCAACCCUUAUCCUUUGUUGCCAGCGGUCCGGCCGGGAACUCAAAGGAGACUGCCAGUGAUAAACUGGAGGAAGGUGGGGAUGACGUCAAGUCAUCAUGGCCCUUACGACCAGGGCUACACACGUGCUACAAUGGCGCAUACAAAGAGAAGCGACCUCGCGAGAGCAAGCGGACCUCAUAAAGUGCGUCGUAGUCCGGAUUGGAGUCUGCAACUCGACUCCAUGAAGUCGGAAUCGCUAGUAAUCGUGGAUCAGAAUGCCACGGUGAAUACGUUCCCGGCCUUGUACACACCGCCCGUCACACCAUGGGAGUGGGUUGCAAAAGAAGUAGGUAGCUUAACCUUCGGGAGGGCGCUUACCACUUUGUGAUUCAUGACUGGGGUGAAGUCGUAACAAGGUAACCGUAGGGGAACCUGCGGUUGGAUCACCUCCUUACCUUAAAGAAGC
RNAcentral lists this ribosomal RNA (1553 nucleotides) under Escherichia coli. Its description in RNAcentral is "bacterial SSU rRNA". It matches the Rfam family "Bacterial small subunit ribosomal RNA". Lineage: Bacteria; Pseudomonadati; Pseudomonadota; Gammaproteobacteria; Enterobacterales; Enterobacteriaceae. The record is from RNAcentral.